RNAcentral lists this ribosomal RNA (807 nucleotides) under uncultured soil bacterium. RNAcentral's name for it is "bacterial SSU rRNA". It matches the Rfam family "Bacterial small subunit ribosomal RNA", at positions 8 to 818 of the family's 1533-position model. The record is from RNAcentral.
AGAGUUUGAUCCUGGCUCAGAACGAACGCUGGCGGCGUGCUUAACACAUGCAAGUCGAGUGCGCGGUUGUAGCAAUACAACUGGCGCACGGCGCACGGGUGCGUAACACGUGGGCAAUCUGCCCUUCGAUGGGGAAUAACUCCGGGAAACCGAAGCUAAUUCCGCAUAACAUUCCCUGGACUCCGGUCCGGGGAUUCAAAGCAGUAAUGCGUCGAAGGAGGAGCCCGCGCCCGAUUAGCUAGUUGGUAGGGUAACGGCCUACCAAGGCUAUGAUCGGUAGCCGGUCUGAGAGGAUGGCCAGCCACACUGGAACUGAGACACGGUCCAGACUCCUACGGGAGGCAGCAGUGGGGAAUCUUGCGCAAUGGGCGAAAGCCUGACGCAGCGACGCCGCGUGGGGGAUGAAGCAUCUCGGUGUGUAAACCCCUUUCGACUGGGACGAAUGCCUCGCAAGAGGAGUGACGGUACCAGUAGAAGAAGCCCCGGCUAACUACGUGCCAGCAGCCGCGGUAAGACGUAGGGGGCCAGCGUUGUUCGGAAUUACUGGGUGUAAAGGGUUCGUAGGCGGUGUGGCAAGUCGGGAGUGAAAUCUAUGGGGCUUAACCCAUAGGCUGCUUUCCGAAACUGCUGUGCUGGAGUGUGGGAGAGGCGCGUGGAAUUGCAGGUGUAGCGGUGAAAUGCGUAGAUAUCUGCAGGACACCCGUGGCGAAAGCGGCGCGCUGGACCACUACUGACGCUGAGGACGAAAGCUAGGGAGCAAACAGGAUUAGAUACCCUGGUAGUCCUAGCCCUAAACGAUCAGGACUU